Long non-coding RNA from Macrobrachium nipponense, 600 nucleotides. RefSeq lists it as uncharacterized. The transcript has 3 exons. The record is from RefSeq and is a predicted model, not a curated record. NCBI's taxonomy places the organism in Eukaryota, Metazoa, Arthropoda, Malacostraca, Decapoda, Palaemonidae.
GAGUUGGGUGUGGUGGUCGUCUCUGAUUGGCCCUGAGAAUUUGUGAAGGUCUUCUUUUUUUUACCAGUGACCAGUCCCUAGGCAGACAGCAAUUAGGAAGGACGGUGUUUUUAAAGCUGUGUAAUUGCAACAUUAGUUGCUGCAAUAUUCCAAGUUCGCUAUAGCCUUGUGGAAGUUGCGUCGCAAACAUUGGCACUCACGAGAAAUUUGAUCAAAGUAAGAGAGUGAAAGUAGUUGGAGUAAACUGUUCAGACCAAGAGAAAAUUCAAGAGCACGACAGAAAGAAAGCCAGAAGAUUCAAGAGCACGACAGAAAGAAAGCCAGAAAAUUCAAGAGCACGACAGAAAGAAAGCCAGAAAAUUCAAGAGUAAAAUAUCAAGACAAGUAUUAAGGUGAUCCAGGGCUGUGAUAAUUUCUCUGGAGACCUUACAAAAUUUUUUUUUUUUUUGCUUGAUAUGAUCGCUGGCAGCUGCCCGGGCCCGGAAGGUUGUCGAACUUAUUUGCUGCUAAUAUAAUAUCUUGCUGCUAAUAUAAUAUCAAAUGUCUUAACUGGUUUACAUUUACAAGUUGAAAUAAGGAUAAUGAAGCAAGUCAAAUAUA